CGCACGAGUGGCAACCGAUAUUAUUGGGCCUAAAGCGUUCGUAGCUGGCCUUGUAAAUCCUCUGUGAAAUCGUUUUGCUUAACAUAACGGCGCGCAGGGGACACUGCUUGGCUUGGGACCGGGAGAGGUAGGGGGUAUUUCUUGGGGAGCGGUAAAAUGUUAUAAUCCAAGAAGGACCACCUGUGGCGAAGGCGCCCUACUAGAACGGAUCCGACAGUGAGGAACGAAAGCCAGGGGAGCAAAAUGGAUUAGAUACCCACGUAGUCCUGGCCGUAAACGCUGUGAGCUAGGUGUUGCAUAUUCUAUAUGAAUGUGCAGUGUCGGAGUGAAGAUGUUAAGCUCACCGCCUGGGAAGUACNGUCGCAAGACUGAAACUUAAAGGAAUUGGCGGGGGAGCACCACAAGGGUGCGGCGUGCGGUUUAAUCCAACUCAACGCGGAGAAUCUCACCAUGGGCGACCGCAGGAUGAAAGUCCAGCUAAUGACUUUACUANACAACCCAAAAGUGGUGCAUNGCCGUCCUCACUCCUGCC
RNAcentral lists this ribosomal RNA (532 nucleotides) under uncultured bacterium. RNAcentral's name for it is "bacterial SSU rRNA". It matches the Rfam family "Archaeal small subunit ribosomal RNA", at positions 481 to 1015 of the family's 1478-position model. The record is from RNAcentral.